GUAAUGUUCUCCUAAACCAGGAAAUAUGUUAUGUGACAGAAUCUCAAGUAGUACCUCAAUUACUACUGUAAUUUCAAGGAAAAUAACGGAGGAUGACAAGAAAAAUAACCAGCUUUACGAUUUUAAAAUAAACGAAAAACAAUACAAGAAAUAUUUUCUAUGUUUUAUCUGUGAUAACAAAACUAACAAGAUCUGUUCCUUUCAACGUCAGAUGCUCCCUUAACGAUUGAUAGGAGUGUGCAUCCUCUCGACUAUCUUAUUCACUGCAUCACGGGACAUGACUAGUGUAUCAUGUAGCAAAAUACUGUAGACGUUUAGACCAAUUGAAGGCAACACAUUGACAUAGUGUACAUUCUGAGUAGCAAACUUUAGUUUUUCACUGAUUGGACCACCAUCCACCACCAGAAGCUUCUUGGUAUUCUCCAAUUGGUUGAAAUAGUUCACUAUGUUCUUUGUUUUGUGUGUAGGAAUCUCUAAAUCCUCAAAAACCAGAAGCUUU
This 499-nucleotide unclassified non-coding RNA is filed under the name Hevea brasiliensis (rubber tree). Lineage: Eukaryota; Viridiplantae; Streptophyta; Magnoliopsida; Malpighiales; Euphorbiaceae. The record is from RNAcentral.